This 75-nucleotide transfer RNA is filed under the name Cordylochernes scorpioides. RNAcentral describes it as "tRNA-Thr". Lineage: Eukaryota; Metazoa; Arthropoda; Arachnida; Pseudoscorpiones; Chernetidae. The record is from RNAcentral.
UGUCAAGGGAUGGUAAUCGAACCCACGAACCUCCGCUUACCGGGCAGAUGCCAUGACCACUAGGCUACCCUGAAC